ACUACGGAGGAUCCAAGCCGUUAUCCGGAAUUCGAUUCGGGUUUAAAAGGGUCCGCAGGCGGGCCUGUUAAGUCAGAGGUGAAAUCCUACAGCUCAACUGUAGAACUGCCUUUGAUACUGAUAGGCUUGAGUUAUUGUGAAGUGGUUAGAAUGUGUGGUGUAGCGGCGAAAUGCUUAGAUAUCACACAGAACACCCAUUGCGAAGGCAGAUCACUAACAAUAUACUGACGCUCAUGGACGAAAGCGUGGGGAGCGAACGGGAUUAGGUACCCUGGUAGUCCACACCGUAAACGAUGAAUGCCAGACGUCAGCAAGCAUGCUUGUUGGUGUCACACCUAACGGAUUAAGCAUUCCGCCUGGGGAGUACGGUCGCAAGAUUAAAAACUCAAAAGGAAUUGACGGGGGCCCGCACAAGCGGUGGAGCAUGUGGUUUAAUUCGAAGCAACGCGCAGAACCUUACCAACCCUUGACAUCGUCGGACCGCCAGAGAGAUCUGGUUUUC
RNAcentral lists this ribosomal RNA (502 nucleotides) under uncultured bacterium. Its description in RNAcentral is "bacterial SSU rRNA". It matches the Rfam family "Bacterial small subunit ribosomal RNA", at positions 522 to 1016 of the family's 1533-position model. The record is from RNAcentral.